GACGAACGCUGGCGGCGUGCCUAAUACAUGCAAGUUGAGCGCUGAAGGUUGGUACUUGUACCAACUGGAUGAGCAGCGAACGGGUGAGUAACGCGUGGGGAAUCUGCCUUUGAGCGGGGGACAACAUUUGGAAACGAAUGCUAAUACCGCAUAAAAACUUUAAACACAAGUUUUAAGUUUGAAAGAUGCAAUUGCAUCACUCAAAGAUGAUCCCGCGUUGUAUUAGCUAGUUGGUGAGGUAAAGGCUCACCAAGGCGAUGAUACAUAGCCGACCUGAGAGGGUGAUCGGCCACAUUGGGACUGAGACACGGCCCAAACGCCUACGGGAGGCAGCAGUAGGGAAGCUUCGGCAAUGGACGAAAGUCUGACCGAGCAACGCCGCGUGAGUGAAGAAGGUUUUCGGAUCGUAAAACUCUGUUGGUAGAGAAGAACGUUGGUGAGAGUGGAAAGCUCAUCAAGUGACGGUAACUACCCAGAAAGGGACGGCUAACUACGUG
RNAcentral lists this ribosomal RNA (497 nucleotides) under uncultured bacterium. RNAcentral describes it as "partial 16S ribosomal RNA". It matches the Rfam family "Bacterial small subunit ribosomal RNA", at positions 28 to 507 of the family's 1533-position model. The record is from RNAcentral.